RNAcentral lists this long non-coding RNA (207 nucleotides) under Gossypium barbadense (sea-island cotton). RNAcentral describes it as "long non-coding RNA (GBAR_LNC000179)". Lineage: Eukaryota; Viridiplantae; Streptophyta; Magnoliopsida; Malvales; Malvaceae. The record is from RNAcentral.
AAGAACUGCAAUCAAUAGUCCAUAAAGUAGUAGCAGCACCAGGAAUACAUGUUCUCUUGGUAUCACGUAUCCAUAGACUUGCUAAAAGAAUUAAUAUUUACAUUGUAAUCAAAAUAGAAUUUGAUAAUAACAAAAUCUAAUAAUAAUGUGAGUAAAUAUUUUGUCGUGGUUGUAGCUUGAGAAGCUAUGUAUUAAUUUUGGAAUCUU